Molecule: ribosomal RNA, 253 nt
Filed under: uncultured bacterium
Lineage: Bacteria
Description: partial 16S ribosomal RNA
Rfam family: Bacterial small subunit ribosomal RNA
Source: RNAcentral
UACGAAGGGGGCUAGCGUUGUUCGGAUUUACUGGGCGUAAAGCGCACGUAGGCGGGUCGUUAAGUCAGGGGUGAAAUCCCGGAGCUCAACUCCGGAACUGCCUUUGAUACUGGCGACCUUGAGGCUGGAAGAGGUUAGUGGAAUUCCCAGUGUAGAGGUGAAAUUCGUAGAUAUCGGGAGGAACACCAGUGGCGAAGGCGGCGACCUGGACGGACACUGACGCUGAGACGCGAAAGCGUGGGGAGCAAACAGG